GGGGUUGUGGCUCAGUGGUAGAGCACUUGCAUUGCAUGUGUGAGGCACUAGGUUCAAUUCUCAGCACUUCUU
Molecule: non-coding RNA, 72 nt
Organism: Ictidomys tridecemlineatus (thirteen-lined ground squirrel)
Lineage: Eukaryota; Metazoa; Chordata; Mammalia; Rodentia; Sciuridae
Source: Rfam